Molecule: ribosomal RNA, 301 nt
Filed under: uncultured bacterium
Lineage: Bacteria
Description: partial 16S ribosomal RNA
Rfam family: Bacterial small subunit ribosomal RNA
Source: RNAcentral
CAGCCGCCGCGGUAAUACGUAGGGUGCGAGCGUUAAUCGGAAUUACCGGGCAUAAAGCGUGCGCAGGCGGUUGUGUAAGACAGGUGUGAAAUCCCCGGGCUUAACCUGGGAACUGCGCUUGUGACUGCACAGCUAGAGUAUGGCAGAGGGGGGUGGAAUUCCACGUGUAGCAGUGAAAUGCGUAGAGAUGUGGAAGAACACCGAUGGCGAAGGCAGCCCCCUGGGCCAAUACUGACGCUCAUGCACGAAAGCGUGGGGAGCAAACAGGAUUAGAUACCCCAGUAGUCCCUGUCUCUUAUAC